Molecule: non-coding RNA, 31 nt
Filed under: Mus musculus (house mouse)
Lineage: Eukaryota; Metazoa; Chordata; Mammalia; Rodentia; Muridae
Source: RNAcentral
UGCCAAAGAGACCUCAAUUUUAGACUCAGAU